GAUGAACGCUGGCGGCGUGCCUAAUACAUGCAAGUCGAGCGAACGGACGAGAAGCUUGCUUCUCUGAUGUUAGCGGCGGACGGGUGAGUAACACGUGGAUAACCUACCUAUAAGACUGGGAUAACUUCGGGAAACCGUAGCUAAUACCGGAUAAUAUUUUGAACCGCAUGGUUCAAAAGUGAAAGACGGUCUUGCUGUCACUUAUAGAUGGAUCCGCGCUGCAUUAGCUAGUUGGUAAGGUAACGGCUUACCAAGGCAACGAUGCAUAGCCGACCUGAGAGGGUGAUCGGCCACACUGGAACGGAGAAACGGCCCGGACUCCUAGGGGAGGAGGAAGAAGGGAAUCUUCCGAAAGGGGCGAAAGCCUGACGGAGCAACGCCGCGGGAGUGAGGAAGGUUUUCGGAUCGUAAAACUCUGUUAUUAGGGAAGAACAGAUGUGUAAGUAAAUGUGCACAUCUUGACGGUACCUAAUCAGAAAGCCACGGCUAACUACGUG
RNAcentral lists this ribosomal RNA (497 nucleotides) under uncultured bacterium. Its description in RNAcentral is "partial 16S ribosomal RNA". It matches the Rfam family "Bacterial small subunit ribosomal RNA", at positions 28 to 507 of the family's 1533-position model. The record is from RNAcentral.